CAGGGAGGCAGCAGAUGGCUGAAAUUCUGACGCAAUGUGGCUGGUUAAUGCACGAUCUGAAAACCCCUGCACUGGUGAUUUUGGGACAGAUCUAGAAUAUACCAAUAAAUAUAUUAACAUACCAAGUAGUCCAGGAGCAGCCACUGGGCAAACACCAUACCUUGCAUCCCUGGUGCUGUCUCUGAGCUCAACAGACACGUCUUUGCAGAAGAGUUCUAUAAUGGUGGUACAAUGGCGCCCCCCUCAUGACAGAAGCUUGAACUACAGCUUGAACAUCGUGUGA
RNAcentral lists this long non-coding RNA (283 nucleotides) under Theropithecus gelada (gelada). RNAcentral's name for it is "lncRNA (ENSTGEG00000012717.1)". Lineage: Eukaryota; Metazoa; Chordata; Mammalia; Primates; Cercopithecidae. The record is from RNAcentral.